CACCGGUCAUCCUCCUGGGAGUCCGACGCCUGUACCAAAUGGCCACCUACACCCUCAGAAGGAGUCAGGAGUCAGGACACCCAACCAACACCAAGCAAAGCAUGACGUGUCAGGAAACAUUUGUACUGUAUUAUUAAACAACAGGUGUAUUUCUUUCCUCCGUCCCAACAUUGCUUCCUACCAACUAGUUUUCCAUGCUAUUUUUUUUUCAAAAAAAAAACAAAGAAAACAUCGCUUCCUUCCAGUUCAAAUACCAAGACAUCAUACAAACCAACUCACCAAAAUCUACUGUAAGGCUGGAGAAUUUGUUGGCGCAGAGAGAGAGAGAGAGAGAGAGAG
RNAcentral lists this unclassified non-coding RNA (339 nucleotides) under Zea mays. RNAcentral's name for it is "misc RNA Zm00001eb205420". Lineage: Eukaryota; Viridiplantae; Streptophyta; Magnoliopsida; Poales; Poaceae. The record is from RNAcentral.